GAUGAAGAACGUAGCGAAAUGCGAUAAGUAAUGUGAAUUGCAGAAUUCAGUGAAUCAUCGAAUCUUUGAACGCACAUUGCGCCCCCUGGUAUUCCGGGGGGCAUGCCUGUUCGAGCGUCAUUUCACCACUCAAGCCUCGCUUGGUAUUGGGCAACGCGGUCCGCCGCGUGCCUCAAAUCGACCGGCUGGGUCUUCUGUCCCCUAAGCGUUGUGGAAACUAUUCGCUAAAGGGUGUUCGGGAGGAUACGCCGUAAAACAACCCCAUUUCUAAGGUUGACCUCGGAUCAGGUAGGGAUACCCGCUGAACUUAAGCAUAUCAAUAAGCGGAGGA
This 331-nucleotide unclassified non-coding RNA is filed under the name soil metagenome. RNAcentral describes it as "partial contains 5.8S ribosomal RNA, internal transcribed spacer 2, and large subunit ribosomal RNA". The stretch from base 1 to 120 matches the Rfam family "5.8S ribosomal RNA", at positions 35 to 154 of the family's 154-position model. The record is from RNAcentral.